Molecule: ribosomal RNA, 497 nt
Filed under: uncultured bacterium
Lineage: Bacteria
Description: partial 16S ribosomal RNA
Rfam family: Bacterial small subunit ribosomal RNA
Source: RNAcentral
GAUGAACGCUGGCGGCGUGCCUAAUACAUGCAAGUCGAGCGAACGGACGAGAAGCUUGCUUCUCUGAUGUUAGCGGCGGACGGGUGAGUAACACGUGGAUAACCUACCUAUAAGACUGGGAUAACUUCGGGAAACCGGAGCUAAUACCGGAUAAUAUUUUGAACCGCAUGGUUCAAAAGUGAAAGACGGUCUUGCUGUCACUUAUAGAUGGAUCCGCGCUGCAUUAGCUAGUUGGUAAGUUAACGGCUUACCAAGGCAACGAUGCAUAGCCGACCGGAGAGGGUGAUAGGACACACGGGAACUGAGCCACGCUCCAGACUCCUACGGGAGGCAGCGGUAGGGAAUCUUCCGCAAUGGGCGAAGGCCUGCCGGAGCAACGCGGCGUGAGUGAUGAAGGUCUUCGGAUCGUAAAACUCUGUUAUUAGGGAAGAACAUAUGUGUAAGUAACUGUGCACAUCUUGACGGUACCUAAUCAGAAAGCCACGGCUAACUACGUG